This 494-nucleotide ribosomal RNA is filed under the name uncultured bacterium. Its description in RNAcentral is "bacterial SSU rRNA". It matches the Rfam family "Bacterial small subunit ribosomal RNA", at positions 28 to 507 of the family's 1533-position model. The record is from RNAcentral.
GAUGAACGCUAGCUACAGGGCUUAACACAUGCAAGUCGAGGGGAAACGAUUAGAGAAAGCUUGCUUUUUCUAGGCGUCGACCGGCGCACGGGUGAGUAACGCGUAUCCAACCUGCCCAUCACUUGGGGAUAACCUUGCGAAAGUAAGACUAAUACCCAAUGACGUCUCUAGAAGACAUCUGAAGGAGAUUAAAGACUUAUCGGUGAUGGAUGGGGAUGCGUCUGAUUAGCUUGUUGGCGGGGUAACGGCCCACCAAGGCGACGAUCAGUAGGGGUUCUGAGAGGAAGGUCCCCCACAUUGGAACUGAGACACGGUCCAAACUCCUACGGGAGGCAGCAGUGAGGAAUAUUGGUCAAUGGGCGAGAGCCUGAACCAGCCAAGUAGCGUGCAGGAUGACGGCCCUAUGGGUUGUAAACUGCUUUUAUAAGGGAAUAAAGUGGGAGUCGUGACUCUUUUUGCAUGUACCUUAUGAAUAAGGACCGGCUAAUUCCGUG